UAGCAAUUAUACCGUGAAACUGCGAAUGGCUCAUUAAAUCAGUUAUCGUUUAUUUGAUAGUACCUUACUACUUGGAUAACCGUGGUAAUUCUAGAGCUAAUACAUGCUAAAAACCCCGACUUCGGGAGGGGUGUAUUUAUUAGAUAAAAAACCAAUGCCCUUCGGGGCUCCUUGGUGAUUCAUGAUAACUUAACGGAUCGCAUGGCCUUGCGCCGGCGACGGUUCAUUCAAAUUUCUGCCCUAUCAACUUUCGAUUGUAGGGUAUUGGCCUACAAUGGUUUCAACGGGUAACGGGGAGUUAGGGCUCGACUCCGGAGAGGGAGCCUGAGAAACGGCUACCACAUCCAAGGAAGGCAGCAGGCGCGCAAAUUACCCAAUCCCGACACGGGGAGGUAGUGACAAUAAAUACUGAUACAGGGCUCUUUUGGGUCUUGUAAUUGGAAUGAGUACAAUUUAAAUACCUUAACGAGGAACAAUUGGAGGGCAAGUCUGGUGCCAGCAGCCGCGGUAAUUCCAGCUCCAAUAGCGUAUAUUAAAGUUGUUGCAGUUAAAAAGCUCGUAGUUGAACCUUGGGCCUGGCUGGCCGGUCCGCCUCACCGCGUGCACUGGUCCGGCCGGGCCUUUCCUUCUGGAGAGCCGCAUGCCCUUCACUGGGUGUGUCGGGGAACCAGGACUUUUACUUUGAGAAAAUUAGAGUGUUCAAAGCAGGCCUUUGCUCGAAUACGUUAGCAUGGAAUAAUAGAAUAGGACGUGCGGUCCUAUUUUGUUGGUUUCUAGGACCGCCGUAAUGAUUAAUAGGGAUAGUCGGGGGCAUCAGUAUUCAAUUGUCAGAGGUGAAAUUCUUGGAUUUAUUGAAGACUAACUACUGCGAAAGCAUUUGCCAAGGAUGUUUUCAUUAAUCAGUGAACGAAAGUUAGGGGAUCGAAGACGAUCAGAUACCGUCGUAGUCUUAACCGUAAACUAUGCCGACUAGGGAUCGGGCGAUGUUAUUAUUUUGACUCGCUCGGCACCUUACGAGAAAUCAAAGUUUUUG
This 1033-nucleotide ribosomal RNA is filed under the name Hysterium angustatum. RNAcentral describes it as "SSU rRNA". It matches the Rfam family "Eukaryotic small subunit ribosomal RNA", at positions 67 to 1109 of the family's 1831-position model. The record is from RNAcentral. Lineage: Eukaryota; Fungi; Ascomycota; Dothideomycetes; Hysteriales; Hysteriaceae.